RNAcentral lists this small RNA (3208 nucleotides) under Arabidopsis thaliana (thale cress). RNAcentral describes it as "ATSL269890". The stretch from base 2597 to 2703 matches the Rfam family "Plant small nucleolar RNA R71". The record is from RNAcentral. Lineage: Eukaryota; Viridiplantae; Streptophyta; Magnoliopsida; Brassicales; Brassicaceae.
AGGUCUUGAAGGCUGUCCUGUAAGCCCAUAAUGCGUCAUCGAGCUUUGCACACCAGUCUUUCCUUGUAAUCCCAACAGUUUUUUUCAGAAUUGUUUUUAUCUCCCUAUUGGAGAUCUCAACCUGCUCAUUCGUUUGUGGAUGAUAGGGAGUGACAACCUUGUGCUUUACUCCAUGCUUCUUCAAGAGAUUCUCAAAAACUUUGUUGAUGAAAUGCUUCCCACCAUCACUGAUUACUACCCUGGGAACUCCAAAUCUCGGGAAGAUUAUGAUCUUGAACAGCUUCAGCACAACUUUUGCAUCGUUGGUAGGACUAGCAAUAGCUUCGACCCACUUUGAUACGUAAUCUACGGUGACUACUAUAUACUUGUUGCCGUGUGAAGAUGGGAAUGGACCCAUAAAAUCAAUCCCCCAUACAUGAAAGAUCUCAACUUCCAAGAUUGGAUUCUGAGGCAUCUCAUUUCUUCUGCUGAUGUUGCCUUUUCUCUGGCAUGAAUCACACUUUGAAACAAACUCCUGAGCGUCCUUAAACAUUGUUGGCCACCAAAAGCCUGCUUGAAGAAUCUUGGACACUGUCUUGAACGUCGCGAAGUGACCACCAUAUGCUGAGCCAUGGCAAUGCAGCAUGAUACCUUCCACUUCAUCUUCUGAGACACAUCUCCUGUAGAUCUUAUCUUUACAGAGAGUGUAAAGAUAAGGCUCAUCCCAGUAGUAAUGGUGUAUGUCUCUGAAAAACUUGUCAGGUUGGGAGGCUCUACUCCGCAUGCCAUGUAAUUGACGUUAUCAGCAUACCAUGGAGAUUCUCCUUCACCAGCAUUCAGUUGGUGGAACUUUUUCCCACUGUAGCUCCUUCCGAAGAACUCUACAACCAUGAGCUGCUCUUCUGGCAUUGAAUCGUCUAUCGGAAAGGGUUCUUCAAUUCUCAUCCUUGACAGAUGGUCAACUGCACCAUUUUCAAUGCCUUUCUUAUCUACUAUCUCCAUGUCAAACUCUUGCAAUAAAAGUAUCCAUCUCAACAGUCUUGGUUUAGUAUCCUUCUUGGCAUACAGAUGCCUCAAAGCUGCAUGGUCUGUAUAGACAGUGACCUUUGAUCCAACCAAAUAGCUUCUGAACUUCUCAAAUGCGAAUACAACAAUUAGAAGCUCCUUCCCAGUUGUUGCAUAUCUUCCCUGAGCUUCAUCGAACGUUCGGCUGGCGUAAUAUAUGACAUGAAGCUUCUUGUCUAUUUUCUGGCCAAUUGAGAACAAGAUUCGUCUCUUCGCAUCUGGUCAAUACCCUGCUAAGAUUCAACAAACAUGAGGAGAAAGAGGGGCCAUAGACCGAAAAAUCGUCCAUGAAAACCUCCACCAUCUCCUCGAUUAAAUCUGAAAAUAUAGAGGUCAUACACCUCUGAAAUGUUGCAGGAGCAUUGCAUAAACCAAAUGACAUUCUCUUAUAAACAAAAGUUCCAUAAGGACAUAGGAAAGUAGUUUUUUCUUGAUCAUUAGAGUGAAUUGGUAUUUGAAAGAAACCACUAUAUCCAUCAAGAAAGCAAUAAUAUGGAUAAUUAGCUAAACGUUCAAGCAUUUGGUCAAUGAAUGGUAAAGAAAAAUGAUCUUUCCUAGAUGUAGCAUUUAACUUCCUAUAAUCAAUGCACAUUCUAUGACCAGUUAUAGUUCUAGUAGGGAUUAGUUCAUCCUUUUCAUUUUUGACAACAGUCAUUCCACUCUUUUUAUGGACGCAAUGCACUGGAGAAACCCAAGUAAUAAGGUAGAUGACACCAGCAUCAAGCAGUUUCAAAAUUUUGUUUUUCACUACUUCUUUCAAAUUGGGAUUUAACCUCCUCUAUGGUUCAAUGCUAAAAUAGGAUUUGUUUUCAAGAUGGAUCCUAUGGUUGCAUAAACUAGGUGAAAUUCCCUUAAUGUCGGAUAAUGAAUAACCAAUUACUCUCCUAUACUUUCUAAGCUCAGAUAAUAGCAGGUUCACUUCAUCAUCAUUUAACUCGGCAUUAAUGAUUACAGGGUAAGUAGAGUUUGGACCCAGGAAUGCGUACCUUAGACCUUUAGGAAGUGGUUUGAGAUCAACCUUCGGCGCCUUGAGUUCAGACCAGUCAUCUGAAGUUGGAAUGAUCGGCUCCCCAGAUUCGUUGGCAGACAAGGUCGAGUGGCUGGUCGAGUGUGUCCUCGAGUGUGCAGGUUGAACUCGUAUUGACCCUUCUUCGCUCAUAACCAUUACCUCCGUUGCCGGUCCAUCCAAUUCCUCAAAGGGUUCUGAUUCUUCCAUCGCUUUAUGGGAGUCUAACAGCUUCUGGUAUCCCAAUGUUUCCAAAUGUAGAAACUCAUCUUUACCACUUUUGGUUAAAGCACUGUUAAGAUGAUCUUCUUCUGCCAGCUCUUCCAGUAACUUAUCGGCUAACUGUCAUCAGAGUCAGAUGUGCCUCUGACGGUCCUAUCGCAGUCCUCGUUGUAAUUACCAUCUGAUUGAGCAAGGUUCUCAACCAAUUCCCAGCCUUCUUCAACAUCUUUGUUCUGGAAAUUUCCAUUGCUGGCGGUAUCCAGAAGCAUUCUGAUGCGUGGUAGGACUCCUCUGUAAAGAGUGCUGAGCAGAGAGGCUUUAGUAAAGCCAUGAUGAGGGCAUUUGUUGGUGUAACCCUUGAAACGCUCCCAUGCUUCACAGAAGCUUUCACCAGCCUUCUGUAUAAAGCCAGAGAUCUCAUUUCUGAGUCUUGCAGUUCUGGCAUUGGAGAAGAACUUUGGUAGGAAAGCCUUCUUGCAAUCAUCUAAGGUGGUGAUUGAGUCAUGGGGCAGAUUCUUCUCCCAGAUGUGUGCUUUGUCGCCCAAGGAGAAUGGAAACAAACAGAGCUUGAAUUCGUCUUCACUGACACCAUUGAUCUUUGUUAGGUUGCAGAGCCUUUCGAAUUCAUCAAGGUGGUCGAGUGGAUCCUCCAUUGGCAGACCAUAGAAUUUGUUCCCCUGAAUCAUCGAGAUGAGACCACUCUUAAUCUCGAAGUUGUUGUUCUGGAUAGCAGGAGGUGCAAUUCCUUUCCUCUGAUGGUGAUCACGUGGUGCAUCUCCAACACCAACGUUGGCAGGGCCAUUUUGUUGAUUUUAUUCGUCAGCCAUUUCGAGUGGUUGCUGAGGUAGAAGGUUGACUGUGUUUCUCCUUUCUGUGAGUUCGGGAGCUAUGCGGUUGAUGUUGUCGUUGAAAAGGAGGUUUUGAUUGCCUGUUAGC